Lycium ferocissimum is the source of this 2924-nucleotide long non-coding RNA. RefSeq lists it as uncharacterized. The transcript is spliced from 2 exons. The record is from RefSeq and is a predicted model, not a curated record. NCBI's taxonomy places the organism in Eukaryota, Viridiplantae, Streptophyta, Magnoliopsida, Solanales, Solanaceae.
ACUCAAAAAUCGAAUUACCUAGGGUUUCUAUUAUUUGAGACCUUUACUUAUUCGAUUUAGUUAAAUUUUAAAAGUUUUAAUAAUUUCUUAUUGUUUGUGGCUGAGUAUUUGGUGUUGAGGAAGAAAGGAUCUUCCAAGUUCAAUCUCAACAAUGGCUGCAGUCACAAAAGGUAAAUUUCCUUCCUUUUAGUCAUUUUUGGGUCUUAUUUGUUGUUUCUUGCCGUGCUUUAAGUUUGCUGUUUAGUUUAAUUAGCUGCUAUUAGUAGUUUUAAGCAUGCUUAGAGUAUAUUUGGUUGCCAUUCUAGUUUUAAAAAUCUUAUAAUAACCUAAUGUAGUUAUGUAUGCUUAUUUAUGUUUCUAAUAGUCUAAGUAUGAUUAAGAUGUUAUGGUUGUUUCUAGUUGAUUAGUAGUUAUGUUUUAGUGUAAUUCAACAUAUUUGUUAAUUACAUUAUAGGCUGAUUGCUUGUUAAUAGUUCAGCAUGUUUAGAGUGUCUCUGUUUAGUACUUAGUUAGUAGUAGUUUAAUGUAAUCCAUACUUUCACUUAUUAUUGAAACCUAUUUAAACUAAAUGGGAUUAGCGUUACCCUUAUUGAUCAAAUCAUGUUGCUGGUGACAUCUUAAGUGGUUCAGUUUGGGUUCUGUGUGAAUAUCUAUUCAGCCCCUUUGUUUAUCUAUUUGGGUUAUUGUUAAUGUGCCUUUUUAGAGUUUCAUCUGUUGCAAUUAGCUUAGCUUAAGCUCAUCCCAUCUAAAACAUGUGUCAAAACUUACUUGUGUGCAUUAUCCUGUCAAAUUGUGUCUAAUUGAUUGAACCCCUAGACAGGAGUCCACACCUAAGUAUAAUACCAGUUGAUUAAAAUGGCAUGAGUAUUAACUUAGAGUAACAAGGUUUGUCUACUUUAGCUUAACAGGAUAUCACUAAGGUCCCUAUGCUAAUUUAUAAAUUAAAAAUGGUAAGUCUGAAAUUAGUAUAAGUUACUUGGUUCAUUCAGUCUCCAACAUGAUAGAGAAGGAUAAGAAUCAAAUGGCUUAGAGGAGUUUAAAUAAGAUCCCACAAAGCCUGAAUGCAACCUCAAUCAACUUGUGAAUGUAUAGUGUCCUUGAAUGCAUGUAUGUACUGUUUAAACAUGGUCAGAAGGCUGUCAUAUUGCAACUGGUAUGAGUUUAGGUUCAUUAAGUAACUAUUCUUACUCUAAAAAGGGGAUAAAUGCACCUGUAGCACACAUAUAGGAGGAUUAAAUGGUUUGUUAACUUUAAGUAAGUGAAAUUCUGUCAUUUGCCUUAUGAUUGGUUCACAUAAGAGAACAUUUUGGUCCCUGUGGACUGACUUGAAUUGAGCUUCUUGCCUGGUUGUCUUGAAUCCUACAUAUCAUCUUUAGUUAAAUCAAAUAUUUAACUUCCGUGCUAUGUAAUAUAGAUCUCUGCAUGUUAACUAGUGAACUCAAUCCAUGUCCCUAUGUUAGUUAAUUGUAAGAAGUAUUACAUGUAUAGGAGUCCUAAGGUAAUGUGUUAAGCCUAGUAUAGGUAUCUUAAGUUUCUAUGUUGACUGCUUGAGGCUAAAAUGUCUAGCUGCAUAUUGAUACUCCUCUGCUUCCCUGCAUUUGAGCUUGUUUCUCUUUUUUGCAUUUUACAUGUUUGUCUCAUAAGCAUCACAUGAAUUGGCAAUGCAUAUUCUUCCUUCAGAAGUAAAGUUUGAACUUAAGAAAUGUUGGUAUUUGUUUGUCUCUUAUGAAAAAACAUGCUUGUUUUUUUCUUUUUCUUCUGCUGAUCAUAUAUAGCUGUAAUUAAGAGUAGGAUCAUUUGAUAUACAUGUCUACGUGCUAGAAGAGUUUAAAAACCCUGUCAAAUACUUAUGCCCGUGACUGUUUUCUUAUGUGAUACUGCAUCUUUCUCUUUUCCUUUGUGAGUCAGUGGGCACUUAUUUGAGUGUGAUUAUUUGUUUUACCUGAAAAGUUUAAAGUUGAUGAGGUUUCCCCUAUGUGGAAUUCGCAUACCAUGGGAUCCUCUAAGGCUAAAUGCAGAGGAUAUACCUAAAUAUACCAGGUAUAUACAGUUUGGUAUAUAGGAACUUGUAUAUUUAGUAUAUACAUAUGGUAUAUCACCUAUGGGGAUUCAGGAUUGCUGUUUUGUGCUCUGUAAUAGUCUUGGCGUGGGCCUGGUCUUUGUUUGUCUAUUUCUUUCUGUUGGGGCCUACCUUCCACGUUAUGAUUAGCUUUUAGUUGGGCCAUGUUUGCUUGUUAUUUUAUAUUUGGGCUUGUCUGUUCUCUGAUCCUUUUCCUCAUGCUUAUAACUUGGCUGAUAUGAUCAUUGCCUUAACAUAUGUGUGUUGUUCUUGCAUUUUUAUUUAAAUAAUUAGUGUGCGUGUAUAAUUAGUCUAUGUAAGUAAGCAGUUAAGUUCUAGAUGCCCUCUAACCAAUAUUUUCCUUUUCCCUCUUUGUGUUGCAUGUAAAAAAAUAUUGUGGUCAUUUGGGUCGUCUUCUCUCAUUUAAACCUGUUGGACCAGAGGCACAACCCUUAUUACCUAAUCAAAUUCGAUGAAAGGGAAGCUAAUAUUUGCAUUGAAGGCCCACCUAUGGGUGAAAAUAGGCAACUGGUGAGCUUAGUGCAUCACUUUUUGUGAUGUAUUAUUUCUUGCAGGAAUUAAGGAGAAGACCAAAUGGUGGAUUGAUGAAAAUAAGACUAAAAGAUGAUUAUGGGAAGAUUUGAGGAGAAGGACAAAGGCAUUAACCACUUGACAUGAAUGUCUUUUUUGGUAAUACUUUUCUAUUUGUUUUCUCUAAGUAGUUUAAAAUUAGUAUUCUUUAAAUUUGACUUUAAAAAAAAAGAAUCAUUUGAUAAUCUCUCUUUCACCCAAUGUAAGUAUCUAAUUUUCUUAUAAUUGGGAUAAGUUAGAUGGCUUAAUUUUAUUUAUACUAAUUAUUUAAUUA